UUUCACUCUACUACGUUUUUCAUUUGUUUAUUUAUUGAUUUAAAACAUAUUUUUUUUUAGCAAGUAACGGGUUGGGGUGUUCUUGUACUUAAUUGAACGUGGUUUUCUCGAACCAGGAAUAAAAAGGUUGUAAGACAAGAAGAUAAGAGUUUCAUUAAACUGCAGGCUAACUGAGUAAAACAAGGGGUUCAACUGAACCACGCUUUGCAAAAAACCUCAGUAAUUAACCUCAUGCAUACAUAUAAAUAUACACAUAUGUUUAUAUAUGAACUCACUCGCAUUUUUACACAUGCAUAGUGUUACAAUUGCCUAGAAAAGGCAUAACACCAAAAC
RNAcentral lists this long non-coding RNA (333 nucleotides) under Malus domestica (apple). RNAcentral's name for it is "long non-coding RNA (MDOM_LNC008711)". The record is from RNAcentral. Lineage: Eukaryota; Viridiplantae; Streptophyta; Magnoliopsida; Rosales; Rosaceae.